Long non-coding RNA from Anguilla anguilla (European eel), 403 nucleotides. RefSeq lists it as uncharacterized. NCBI's taxonomy places the organism in Eukaryota, Metazoa, Chordata, Actinopteri, Anguilliformes, Anguillidae. The transcript has 2 exons. The record is from RefSeq and is a predicted model, not a curated record.
ACUUUACAGGUGAGGUAGGGAUAAUGGAUAAUAAGGAGAAAGAGUGUUUGUAUGUAUGUGUGUAUUUGUGUGUGUUAGAUUGGGGUGAAAUGUGUGUGUGUGUGUGUGUGUGUGUGUGUGUGUGUGUGUGUGUGUGUGUGUGACUUCUGAGCAAAUCACAUCAAAGAUAUAGGAAAAAAAGAUCUGAAUCCAAAUAAUAUUGGGCAGAUUUGAGAGGAGAAUCUCAUUUUGGGAGAUCUCAUUAUUCGAGUGUUGCCGAAUAUGGUAUUUGUGUUCUGCGCCUCCCUACUACAUGGGAACAAUCACCUCAGUACAAUCAUAUGACAUCCCAUUCACCCUGUAAAUAUACAGGAACAUGUACAGUGAGCUCCAUAAAGCUUGGGACAAAGACAUUUUUUCUUGA